UUUGAAGAACAGUAGAAUUUGGAUGGACCCAAAGAGAAAGAUAAGAUGUUACUAUGGAGAGACUCCACUCUAAGCACUAAUGUUGGACUUAAUCACGUGGUAAUUGCUGUUAAACAAGCACUCCCUGAGAGACAACAUCUCUCUUAUGAACAUCCCUUCAGAUGAACAAAACCAUCUCCUCCCCUCUUCUGAGGGAUUUGAAAAACAAAGCUUGCCUGUCUAUCUAAAGCAUAUUCUUCAGCUGUUGAGAAGAUUCAGAUGGAAAUGAGAGUGAACCCAGGAAAUAGGAGUUACAUUAUAAAUAUCUGAAUAAAUGAAGAAUUAUCAAAUAAAUUGAUGAAUGCAUCCAA
Molecule: long non-coding RNA, 350 nt
Organism: Acinonyx jubatus (cheetah)
Lineage: Eukaryota; Metazoa; Chordata; Mammalia; Carnivora; Felidae
Exons: 3
Source: RefSeq, a predicted model, not a curated record